GGAGGGAUCAUUAACACUAUUUGGCUGAAAUGACGAACAAAGUCGAAAGACAAUGGGACCUCAUUUCAGUUCAAAUUCAAACCACACUGUUGAACUCGGUUACCUUGUGUAGCCAAUCCUCCCUUUGAAUCAGAAAUGUUAAUGGAUAGUUUGUAGUGGGUUGGCGUAAGUCAACGACUACCAUUAACUAGCAAGGCUAUAUUAACUUAAUUGUUACUAUUGACUUUGAGUUUCUGUUUCUUAGGCAAUUCUAACCAAUGUUUCCUCCACUAUAGAAAUGAACCUAUUUCACCCCUUCGUACUCCAAUUGACUGAUCUCUAUGCUGGAGACCCGAAAGGGCUCAUAUACAGCAAGCCUUUAAGAUAAUUCUUAAACUAAGCACAACUCUUAGCAACGGAUAUCUUGGCUCUCGCAACGAUGAAGAACGCAGCGAAACGCGAUAUGUAAUGCGAAUUGCAGAAUUCAGUGAAUCAUCAAAUCUUUGAACGCAAAUGGCGCUCUCGGGAUAGACCCAAGAGCACACCUCUCUCAGUAUCGGUGAAAACCAUAUCUCUCACUUUCUGGGUUAAACUAGAAAUGUGGCGAGGAAAAUGAGUGUCUUAGGACUGUGUCUUGAACACGACUCUAAGUCGCUUGAAAUAUACUUGAUGACGUUGGACCUCCUUCGGGACUACAAAGUUAUUCGAGUCGUUGAGAUCUCUCCUAGUACCUUCUUUCAAUCGGCAUUUAAUUAUGUCAAUUGUUGGAAUAGCCUCUGAAUGCUAAACAGUAUUAGUGACGUGGAUAAACCUUACUCUCAUGACCAAUGUCAUUAAUUUAUUAGUGUCAUUGCAAUUGUUAGUAAAUUGAAACGUCAAUCAACUGACACUGACUUAGAACUAUGGGCGAACACUAGUGGUCUCUCAACAAACCUUAAGAAUUAUCGAGCGGUUUCCCUUCAAGCUUUGCUUGUUUGGUUUCCAAUCGAGUUUCUUUCUCUUUCGAUCUGAGAUGAAGUGGGACAACCCCCUGAAUUUAAGCAUAUUAUUAAGGGGAGGAAAAGAAAAUAACAAUGAUGACCUUAGUAACGGCGAGUGAAGCGGUCAUAGCUCAAAAUGAAAAUCCAAGAUCUAAACAGGUCUUUGGAAUUGUAUCCUAUUCGACGUGCUAUCAGCGUGUGACUCAAGUACAAGUCCUUUGGAAGAAGGCAUCAAAGAGGGUGAGAAUCCCGUCUCUGACUUGAGCAAUACAAUUCACCGCGUACGAUGCAUGUUCAUUGAGUCGAGUUGUUUGGGAAUGCAGCUCUAAAUGGGUGGUAAGUUUCAUCUAAAGCUAAAUAUUGGCGAGAGACCGAUAGCGAACAAGUACCGUGAGGGAAAGAUGAAAAGAACUUUGAAAAGAGAGUUAAAAAGUACUUGAAAUUGCUAAGAGGGAAGCGCUAGAAACCAGUGUAUGGUACCAUUAGCAUUUUGCCUAUUGAGAAGGAGUCGACGCUAUGUCCAGUUGGCAACUCUGGUAGUGGUGUUCGUCUUCGUAUCAGUGGGUCCGGUGUUAGUGGGACGUCAGAAUGAGUUGAUGAGUGCAGGAGACACAAUAGGGAAAGGUAGGGUCGCAGCAAUGUUACCUGUUAUAGUCCUUAUUGGAUACUGUGCUUUCGACUGAGGAACUUCAUGGUGCGCCACUAGGCAUGGAACUUUGCUUCUAAUAGGUGACGCUGAUUUGAUGACAAUGUCAUCCUGUUGACGUUUGCUUGUUACUAAGUAAAACUUCCAUUUGCAUUGUAUGUUGAUUCUGACUAAAUGGUUUCUAUCGACCCGUCUUGAAACACGGACCAAGGAGUCUAACAUAUAUGCAAGUAUUAGGGUGGAAAACCCGAGAUGCGGAAUGAAAGUAAAGGUGACUUGUCACUGUGGUAGGAAUCCUAAUCACUAUUGUGAUGGGAGGCACUAUCGACCGAUCCUCACUUGUGAGCCGAUUUGAGUAAGAGCAUAUCUGUUGGGACCCGAAAGAUGGUGAUCUAUGCCUGAACAGGGUGAAGCCAGGAGAAAUUCUGGUGGAGGCUCGUAGCGAUACUGACGUGCAAAUCGUUCGUCUGAUUUGGGUAUAGGGGCGAAAGACUAAUCGAACUAUCUAGUAGCUGGUUCCCUC
Molecule: unclassified non-coding RNA, 2128 nt
Filed under: uncultured fungus
Lineage: Eukaryota; Fungi
Description: sequence contains 18S rRNA gene, ITS1, 5.8S rRNA gene, ITS2, 28S rRNA gene
Rfam family: Eukaryotic large subunit ribosomal RNA (bases 983-2128)
Source: RNAcentral